AUUGAACGCUGGCGGCAGGCCUAACACAUGCAAGUCGAACGGUAACAGGAAACAGCUUGCUGUUUCGCUGACGAGUGGCGGACGGGUGAGUAAUGUCUGGGAAACUGCCUGAUGGAGGGGGAUAACUACUGGAAACGGUAGCUAAUACCGCAUAACGUCGCAAGACCAAAGAGGGGGACAUUCGGGCCUCUUGCCAUCAGAUGUGUCCAGAUGGGAUUAGCUAGUAGGUGGGGUAACGGCUCACCUAGGCGACGAGCCCUAGCUGGUCUGAGAGGAUGACCAGCCACACUAGAACUGAGACACGGUCCAGACUCCUACGGGAGGCAGCAGUGGGGAAUAGUGGACAAUGGGCGGAAGCCUGAUGCAGCCAUGGCGCGUGUAUGAAGAAGGCCUUCGGGUUGUAAAGUACUUUCAGCGGGGAGGAAGGGAGUAAAGUUAAUACCUUUGCUCAUUGACGUUACCCGCAGAAGAAGCACCGGCUAACUACGUG
Molecule: ribosomal RNA, 490 nt
Filed under: uncultured bacterium
Lineage: Bacteria
Description: partial 16S ribosomal RNA
Rfam family: Bacterial small subunit ribosomal RNA
Source: RNAcentral